UCCGGUGGUGAUAGCGACGAGGCCACACCCGUUCCCAUUUCGAACACGGAAGUUAAGCUCGUUAGCGCCGAUGGUACUUGGGGGUAGACCCCCUGGGAGAGUAGGACGCCGCCGGAU
Molecule: ribosomal RNA, 117 nt
Filed under: Actinomycetes bacterium
Lineage: Bacteria; Bacillati; Actinomycetota; Actinomycetes
Source: RNAcentral